UACGUAGGGUGCGAGCGUUAAUCGGAAUUACUGGGCGUAAAGCGUGCGCAGGCGGUUUUGUAAGCCAGAUGUGAAAGCCCCGGGCUUAACCUGGGAAUGGCAUUUGGGACUGCAAGGCUGGAGUGUGGCAGAGGAGACUGGAAUUCCUGGUGUAGCAGUGAAAUGCGUAGAUAUCAGGAGGAAUACCGAUGGCGAAGGCAGGUCUCUGGGCCGAUACUGACGCUGAGGAGCGAAAGCGUGGGGAGCGAACAGG
This 253-nucleotide ribosomal RNA is filed under the name uncultured bacterium. RNAcentral describes it as "partial 16S ribosomal RNA". It matches the Rfam family "Bacterial small subunit ribosomal RNA", at positions 524 to 776 of the family's 1533-position model. The record is from RNAcentral.